This 253-nucleotide ribosomal RNA is filed under the name uncultured bacterium. Its description in RNAcentral is "partial 16S ribosomal RNA". It matches the Rfam family "Bacterial small subunit ribosomal RNA", at positions 524 to 776 of the family's 1533-position model. The record is from RNAcentral.
UACGAACCGUGCGAACGUUGUUCGGAAUCACUGGGCUUAAAGGGCGCGUAGGCGGUCUGCCAAGUCCGGGGUGAAAGCCCCCAGCUCAACUGGGGAAGUGCCUUGGAUACUGGCGGACUCGAGGGAGGCAGGGGUUGUGGGAACUUCCGGUGGAGCGGUGAAAUGCGUUGAUAUCGGAAGGAACGCCGGUGGCGAAAGCGCACAACUGGUCCUCUUCUGACGCUGAGGAGCGAAAGCGUGGGGAGCGAACAGG